CGCUACACAUGCAGUCGACGGUGACACGGAGCUUGCUCUGUGGGAUCAGUGGCGAACGGGUGAGUAACACGUGAGCAACCUGCCCCUGACUCUGGGAUAAGCGCUGGAAACGGCGUCUAAUACUGGAUAUGUGACGUGACCGCAUGGUCUGCGUCUGGAAAGAAUUUCGGUUGGGGAUGGGCUCGCGGCCUAUCAGCUUGUUGGUGAGGUAAUGGCUCACCAAGGCGUCGACGGGUAGCCGGCCUGAGAGGGUGACCGGCCACACUGGGACUGAGACACGGCCCAUACUCCUACGGGAGGCAGCAUUGGGGAAUAUUGCACAAUGGGCGCAAGCCUGAUGCACCAACGCC
RNAcentral lists this ribosomal RNA (350 nucleotides) under Microbacterium oxydans. RNAcentral's name for it is "bacterial SSU rRNA". It matches the Rfam family "Bacterial small subunit ribosomal RNA", at positions 47 to 398 of the family's 1533-position model. The record is from RNAcentral. Lineage: Bacteria; Bacillati; Actinomycetota; Actinomycetes; Micrococcales; Microbacteriaceae.